GGAGGGUGCGAGCGUUAAUCGGAAUUACUGGGCGUAAAGGGCGCGUAGGCGGCCGAUCAAGUCAGAUGUGAAAGCCCACGGCUUAACCGUGUGAAGUGCAUCUGAAACUGGUCGGCUUGAGUAUCGGAGAGGAAAGUGGAAUUCCCGGUUUAGAGGUGAAAUUCGUAGAUAUCGGGAGGAAUACCGGUGGCGAAGGCGACUUUCUGGACGAAUACUGACGCUGAGGCGCGAAAGCGUGGGGAGCAAACAGGAUUAGAUACCCUGGUAGUCCACAGCUGUAAACGAUGUGCACUAGAUGUGGGGAAGUGUUGACCUUUCCUGUGUCGCAGCUAACGCAUUAAGUGCACCGCCUGGGGAGUACGGCCGCAAGGUUA
This 374-nucleotide ribosomal RNA is filed under the name uncultured bacterium. Its description in RNAcentral is "bacterial SSU rRNA". It matches the Rfam family "Bacterial small subunit ribosomal RNA", at positions 527 to 896 of the family's 1533-position model. The record is from RNAcentral.